CCUACGGGUGGCUGCAGUGGGGAAUAUUGGACAAUGGGGGGAACCCUGAUCCAGCCAUGCCGCGUGUGUGAAGAAGGCCCUCGGGUUGUAAAGCACUUUCAGUGAGGAAGAACGCCUGGAGGUUAAUACCCAUCAGGAAAGACAUCACUCACAGAAGAAGCACCGGCUAACUCCGUGCCAGCAGCCGCGGUAAUACGGAGGGUGCGAGCGUUAAUCGGAAUUACUGGGCGUAAAGCGCGCGUAGGUGGCUUGAUAAGCCGGUUGUGAAAGCCCCGGGCUCAACCUGGGAACGGCAUCCGGAACUGUCAAGCUAGAGUGCAGGAGAGGAAGGUAGAAUUCCCGGUGUAGCGGUGAAAUGCGUAGAGAUCGGGAGGAAUACCAGUGGCGAAGGCGGCCUUCUGGACUGACACUGACACUGAGGUGCGAAAGCGUGGGUAGCAAACAGGAUUAGAUACCCUAGUAGUC
Molecule: ribosomal RNA, 465 nt
Filed under: Vreelandella stevensii
Lineage: Bacteria; Pseudomonadati; Pseudomonadota; Gammaproteobacteria; Oceanospirillales; Halomonadaceae
Description: partial 16S ribosomal RNA
Rfam family: Bacterial small subunit ribosomal RNA
Source: RNAcentral